This 71-nucleotide transfer RNA is filed under the name Marmota marmota marmota (Alpine marmot). It matches the Rfam family "tRNA". From Rfam's summary of the family: Transfer RNA (tRNA) molecules are approximately 80 nucleotides in length. Their secondary structure includes four short double-helical elements and three loops (D, anti-codon, and T loops). Lineage: Eukaryota; Metazoa; Chordata; Mammalia; Rodentia; Sciuridae. RNAcentral also lists the same sequence under 1 other name. The record is from Rfam by way of RNAcentral.
GUGGUUGUGGCUCAGUGAUAGAGCACUCACCUAGCAUGCAUGAGGCACUGGGUUCAAUCCUCAGCACCACA